This 509-nucleotide ribosomal RNA is filed under the name uncultured Glomus. RNAcentral describes it as "SSU rRNA". It matches the Rfam family "Eukaryotic small subunit ribosomal RNA", at positions 569 to 1081 of the family's 1831-position model. Lineage: Eukaryota; Fungi; Glomeromycota; Glomeromycetes; Glomerales; Glomeraceae. The record is from RNAcentral.
AGCAGCCGCGGUAAUUCCAGCUCCAAUAGCGUAUAUUAAAGUUGUUGCAGUUAAAAAGCUCGUAGUUGAAUUUCGGGAUCAAUAUAUUGGUCAUGCUUAGGUAUGUACUGGUAUUAUUGAUUUCUCCCUUCUGAAGAACCAUAAUGUCGUUAAUUUGAUGUCAUGGGGAAUCAGGACUGUUACUUUGAAAAAUUAGAGUGUUUAAAGCAGGCUUUCGCUUGAAUACAUUAGCAUGGAAUAAUGAAAUAGGACGUUUGAUUCUAUUUUGUUGGUUUCUAGGAUCGACGUAAUGAUUAAUAGGGAUAGUUGGGGGCAUUAGUAUUCAAUUGUCAGAGGUGAAAUUCUUGGAUUUAUUGAAGACUAACUACUGCGAAAGCAUUUGCCAAGGAUGUUUUCAUUAAUCAAGGACGAAAGUUAGGGGAUCGAAGACGAUCAGAUACCGUCGUAGUCUUAACCAUAAACUAUGCCGACUAGGGAUCGGAUGAUGUUAAUUUUUAAUGACUCAUUAC